GGAAGCAAGCCUAAAUAUAUAUACAAGUAUAAAAUCCCUCCAAGACCCUGGAAGUCACAUGUACAGAGCUACUAACAAAAUGAGUAAAUGUCCCAAAAGUGGACCACAGAAACAAGAUUGUGUCAAAAAGCAAAAUACAAGUCAAUGUAUAUAGAUGGAGACUGGUAUAGCACAAAACUCCAAGUGCUCACCCCCGUCUACGUAUCAGAUUGUUGCAGACUCGAUGUCAAUGCUGGUAGCUGGUGCUCGGUCCUGCAUCAUGAAAACAAAUGCAGAGUGUAGAAUGAGUACCAAAACAACAGGUACCCAGUAGGCCUCAUAGGCUGAUUGAGCAAGAAAAGCAAAAGUAAUAUGAAAUGCGAGAAUCUAAAACACUAACAUAAAUAGGAACGAGAAAUCUAACAGGUAUGCACAUGAGUGUACUAACACACAAAGAUAAGGAGAAUAACAAACUAAAUCCGACCGAGCUCCCAUAAACCUGGCGGGUACACUCGUGUACAAGCUAAAAGUAAAAAUCGAGCGGACUCCCAUAAGCCCGACAGGUACAAGGAGAGUUUAGAAUGGAAUAAGAGGAUCUGAUGAAGUUUCCCAGAUUUCCACAACUUUUCGUGGACUCGAACCGAACGAAUCCAUAUGUUUGAAGCUCAUCCAGGACUGAAAGGGGUUAAGGACAUUAACUGAAUUGAAGAUGGAGGAUCAAGGACUUAAACCGAGAUUUGGAGUAACCAAGGACUUGAACCAAGGCUAAGGAUAAUCGUGGACUUUAACCACGUAUAAAUAUGACCAAGGACUUGAACCGAGGUGAGAGUAGAUAUGGACUUGAACCAAACUGUAAAGAGCAGUAGACUUGAUGUUGGAAAACUAUAUGCAAAGCGGAAGCAUACCAAAAUCUUACUGCUUACAUGAAUAAUAGAUAAUCAAUAAUGUUUAUGCUAGAACACACAUAAUCAUGCUAGAACACAUAUACUUAUUGGAAUUUAAUUCAAGAAUUACCUUUUGAAGCGUUAGCAGAUACCUUCAAAUGAAUACACAUAUUAGAUAGACCUUCAAGCAAAUCUACAAGAUAAACAACACCUUUGAAGUCUUCUACAAUGAUCCCAAGUUCACAUCUAAACCCUCUCAAUACUUGGGUGGGCAAGCAUGAAUAGAAAACAUUCAGUCUUUUUUUUAUGUUAGGAGAAUCCCUACUCAUAGUGAUUUCCUCCCUAUCCAAAAAAGGAGAAGAAAACCAGUUUUCUUGAAAAACAAGAAAUACACUUUUCUUUCCCUUUUUCCUAAGAAAAUAGGAUUAUGAGUUCUAGUUAAAUAUGGGCAUCGUAGGUACCACAAUAUUAGUUGUUGAGGCUUCCUACUAUAGAAAUAAUUCCAAUUAAUUAAUUUGAAUUAUUCUUACCAUAAUAAAUUACAAAUCAUUCCAAUAGAAAUUUGUAAUUGUACUCUUCUAUUUAUAUUUCGAAUUUUCUCAUUAAACACUUAUGUAAUUCCCCAUGUUAAGAUUACAUAUAAUAAUCAAUAAAAUAAAUUACUGACAAAUUUAAUUCAAUGAUUAUUUUCUUUAGAACACUACUUAACUUAUUUCAUUUGUCGGAUUCAUAAAUUCACUUGUAAGGUUUGACACGAUGAAAACUUAUAAGCUUCUCAAAAAGGCAUAUCAUUAAUCUCUAUAUCGAGACAUGAAUUCCGUCAACUAACUUAUUAUUUUACCAAUAUAUAUUAUUAUCAUCCAAUCUACCAGACAUAUUGACCAAUUCUCAGAAUCUUGACUUUUAAUAAAUCAAAACGAUAAUUAAUAUAUAUACAUAUCAUAAUAGUUAUAUCAGGAUUGAGAAUAUAAGCCCAUUUAACAGUUUAGAAAAUAUGCUUUUGUUGGUCAGUCUAAAAAAACUAUUUCUACUCGGUCCCGUUCAAUACAUACAAAAUGCACUAGCACAAGAAGUUGGAACUAUACCGUUCCCAUAAUAAAGUUAAAUUAUAUAUAAUCUUGUGCUAUAAUCGUACCUAUGGCAUGCCUAACUUCCAUCUUAGAUUGUGAAUAAAAAACUUUAUACUUACAAGAACCGAUGAUUUAAUCUUCUGUGUAUAAGCUAAAAUGUUAUACACUAGAUUAUAUACUUUAUAAGUAAUCAGACAACAUAAACAAAUAUAUGAUCUAUUAAAACUGAACAAAUAAUUAUUCGAUAAUAAAUAUUAUAUCUAACCAUUUGGUUAAUAGUAUAUAUCCCAACAAUCUUCCACUUAAACUUUUAACCAUCACGAUUAUUAUAAUGCACUAUAUCUAAAAGCAUGGUUAAUAAUAUAUACCCUAACAAUAUCCCACUUAGAUAUUUAAUCUAGAAAAUUGUUAGUUCACUAUUUCUACACACAUGAUUAAUAGUAUAUACCCUAACAAUCUUCCACUUAGACUCUUAAAUAUGCAAUAUGCAUUUACAACUUUCACAGAUAUUCCUUUUAUUCUUAUUGAGAGAAUGUUACCAAGUUGUUUUGUCACACAAUUUCGUCAAGUAGUGCUUCGUUGUAACAAAUCAAUUUUGUACUAGAUCUAGAGUGACCUUAUCAUGAAACUCAACAAGAUUGUACUUCUUUUCAUGAGUUCUAUCAUGAAAUUUCUCUCACACAUACAAAACAAAUCAAUCUUUGUUAUGAUUCUUCCACUACGACUAAGCAGUACUACAUAAUCACACUUUCAUGUUCUUGAGUCUUAAUAUUUUCUUCAAGAUCUCUCGAUAUUGAAAUAUUAACAACUUUUCAUGUAGUGUUCUUUAAUUUUCUCAACAUCACUCCCACUACUUGAGGUAAUAGUUUUCUUAUGUCUAGUAACGUUUCUCCCACUACUUAAAUGCAUUGGAACGUUACAUACCGAUUAUAUGUUCUUUAGCGUCUGAAUUGGAAAUUGACUUAUUUGUUAUUUCUUUGUUCAGUUCCCAUAAAACAAAUUUACUUCUAGGAAUAUGGUUUACUAAAUGAUCCUUUUCAAGAAAUGCGGCAGUUGUAUUAACAAUUGCCUUAUUUUCUUUAGGACAGUAGAAUAAACUUUCUUUCAUUCUUUAGUAUAUCCAAUUAACACACACAUUCCUUUCUGAAUUACAAUUUUCUUAUUCUCCCUCUCAAAACAUGUGCUGGACAAUCCUAUAUUUGAGCAUAUCAGAAAUUAGACUUACGCCAAAUCCAACUAGUUCUAUAGUUAUCCAAUGUACUAAUUUGAAAGUAAUGAAAUUCAGAAUGUGAUAUGUAAUUCUUACAAAAUAUCCCAAAAGAAGCAAAACAACUAUGAAUAAGUCAAUCACUAAUCUUAUCAUCUUCAUAAGAGUGUCAAGCCCCGAGCCUAUAAACUAGAUGUGGGUGGCACUCCAGAACCAUUUCUGAUCUCCAAGUGAACCCUUGGCCUCGAUGACUAUUUAGUGGAAGACUUACUUAAGCAUAAAGAAGCUUUAAAAAUAGAAUUUAGUACAUUAAAACUCAAAUAAAUACUUAACUCAACUUUCUAAAAAUACUUAAGUGCAAUAAUAAUAAUAAUAAUAAUACUUCGCAAAAAAAAGGGUAUGCUAGUCGAGGCAAGCUAACGUGCACUGAUAAUGGCAAGGAGAAGGAAUACAGCCACUAACAUGGAAACAAUGGUUACACCAGCUUCAGGAGUGCGACAGACUCUUUCUCCCCUGACUUGUGGGAGCUACCUCCCAGGUCAGUUUAGGUCGAUACAGGAGGAGGAGGAGGAACAGGAAGAUGAAAAUGCAGAUGAAUGUAACAGUGUUCGACCGGACUAUGGGAAGAAACCUGUAAGUGAAACAUCCAUCCCUCGAAGAUUACAGUUCUCUGAAAUUAGUGCUUAUACGAGCUCCAAGCUGGAAGCUCAGAUCUCAGAAAACUCAAAUAGGGCUACGGGGAAGGGGCUUACAUUGGCAUAUGAACCUCCACAGAUGGGAAAAUUGUGGUUAAGUUGACCACUGAAGAUAUAAAGGCGACUGAUAGUUAUUGGUCCACAUCACUUUUUGGUUAUGUACUGGGUGAUACUCCAAAUGAGAAAUCUAUGGAUAAGUAUGUGACUGUUAUGUGGAAUUUUGUGAAGAAGCCCCAAAUUCAUUACCAUACUGAUGGAUACUGUAUUUUUCGAUUUGCGUCGAUAGAGAAAAAAACUGAGGUAGUCCAGGCAGGACCUUAUACCUACCACAAUAAUCCUUUCAUAUUGAAGCCUUGGGUGGUAGAUUUUGUAUUUGAUACAGAGUCCAUUACUACGGUACCGCUGUGGGUGAAUUUUCCAGGUUUACCAGUAGGGUUUUGGUCGGCUGAAGCUCUGAGCAAAGUGGCGAGUGCUAUUGGAAAGCUGUUAUACACGGAUAAGUAUACUGCUGAUAUGAAUCGUAUUUCCUAUGCGCGAGUUUUGGUGGAGGUAGACAUUUCUUAUCCCCUGAUAGACUCGAUUGUCAUAGAAACUCAUUUUGGCACUACCCAGCAAACUGUAGAUUAUGAUUGGAGGCCAAAAUUUUGCAAUGAUUGUUUUCGGUUUGGGCAUAACACUGAGGAGUGCUGGAUGAAUCACAAAGGGGAGAAGGGGGAAAAUCAACAAGGACAAGAAGAAGGGGAAUUCAAGGCACCCCUUAGAAGGAGGAGAAGGGGAAGAAGAAGGAGGAAAAUUGUUCAAGAAUGGCAGAUCAGACCAGUAGGAGCUGAACCCCCAGUAGGGAGUACUAAGGACCAUGAGAAUAAUGAGGAACCUGGAGAUCCAAAUAUAGUAGAAGCACCUAUAAAGACUAUACACAUUGGUAUGAAUCCAGUGGUUAGUCUAAGCAACAUGUUUGAAUCUCUAUCUAGGAAUGUUGAUGUAUCGAGUAGACCACCAGAACAUGAGUCUGCUGAAACAUCUAAACCACCAUGAAAGUGAGUACAUGGAAUGUGAGAAUCAGCCCUACAAACAGAAAGAGGUGUUACUCUUUCUGAGGAAGAACAAAAUUAGUUUGUUUGGUUGUUUAGAAACAAGAAUAAAGGAAGGGAAAGCCAAGAAAGUCUUGUUGAAAUUUGAUAAGGAAUGGAAUCAUUUUUGCAAUUAUCCACAUGGUGUAAAUGGAAGAAACAUGUUACUGUACAAGUCGUUCAUGUGCAUGAACAAUUUGUCCAUUGUAAGGUGGAAGACUUAGCCAUUAGUUUUUCAGCUGAAAUCACAGUGGUGUAUGCAAAAAGUGAAUUAAGUCGGAGAACAGAGUUAUGGAAUGAACUGCAAAAUAUUGGUGCAAAUGUGCAGGGUGUUUGGUUGAUUAGUGGUGAUUUUAAUAAUAUUCUUAAUGCACAAGGAAGAAUUGGACAACCAGUUACAGGAGCAGAAGUACAGGGGUUCAAGGAUAUGAUUGAUAAUCUACAACUUACUCCACUUAGAUCAAAAGGGUGCUUCUAUACAUGGUGCAAUAAGCAACAGGGGAAUAAUAGGGUGUACAACAAAAUUGAUUGGGUCUUUGGUAACUUCGAAUGGCUGCAGCAGAAUGGACAUGUUGAAGCUGAAUAUAUGCAACCAGGAGUAUCAGAUCAUUCUCCUGUUGUGGUUCAUUGCAGGCAACAAAUUAACUUGCAUCCUAAGCCAUUUAGAUUAUAUGUAACUGUCAUGGAACAUCCCAGUUUCAAGGGGCUAGUACAACAAGUCUGGCAAAGGCAAAGAAGAGGACAGGCAAUGGAGAUUCUAUGGGAGAAAUUGAAACAAUUAAAAGGGGAAUUGAAGGGUAUAAAUGCAUACAUGGCUUAUUAUGCUAAACAACUAUACCAGGCAAGACAACAACUAGAGAGAGCGCAAGGCCAGAUCUCUAUGCAAAUAUUUGAUCAAGCUUUAUUUGACCAGGAAAAGGUUUAGCUAGUAGAAAUUCAGAAGUGGAGUAUAAUAGAGGAGAAAGUCUGGAGACAAAAGUCUAGAGCUUGCUGGAUUGAUAGUGGAGAUGCCAUGACAAGGGUAUUUUCAUGCACAGAUGAAGAUUAGAAAUGCUCAUAAUGCCAUUUCCUCUAUUUACACUGAAAAUGGGAUUAAGUUAAAUGAACCAAAGAAGGUUGAAAGAGAAUUUGUAGCCUUUUUCACCUCACUAAUGGGUGAUAGUACAAAAGAAUUGCCUUGUCCUAACUCUAUGGUGAUCAAGAAAGGGCCUUGCCUUAACAGGGACCAGCAACUAAUGCUGAUAGAAAAGGUUACAAAAGUAGAGAUAGAUCAAGCAAUAAAAAGUAUGCCACAUGACAAAAGUCCUGGGGUAGAUGGUACCCUAUAGAAUUCUUUACUAGUAAUUGGGAAAUGGUUAAGGAGGGAGCGUAUGAUGCUGUGCAACAAUUCUUUUCAGAAGGGAAGAUGAUGAAGGCUUGGAACUGUACUGCGGUUACACUGAUCCCUAAGGUGCAAUCACCUACUACGGUGAAAGAUUUUAGACCUAUAGCAUGUUGUUCAUCCAUUUAUAAGUUAGUUGCCAAAAUACUAACCAAUAGGCUGAAGAAGGUGUUAAAUGGAUUGAUUGGAAGAUCACAGUCUGUAUUUAUUGAAGGAAGGAGCAUAUCAGAUAACAUCUUACUGAAUCAUGAGCUUUUCAAGGGUUACACUAGGAAAUGGAUAUCUCCUAGGUGUGUGUUAAAGGUGGAUAUCAGGAAAACUUAUGACACACUUGAAUGGCAAUUUCUGAGAACUAUGCUCACUGACCUGGGGUUCCCUUACAAGUUCGUUAACUGGGUAAUGGAAUGUGUGACAACUGUGUCCUACUCAUUGAUGAUGUUUGGAGGAUUAACAAAGCCUUUCCAAGCUAGAAGAGGUUUAAGGCAAGGGGAUCCCAUGUCCCCUUACCUAUUUGUUAUUGCCAUGGAAUACCUUCAUAGGGAAAUGAUGCAACUAGGUAUGAAUAAACAGUUCCACUUCCACCUCAGAUGCAAAAGAUUUGGACUGAUCCAUAUGUGUUUUGCUGAUGAUUUGUUAAUGUUCUGCAGGGCUGAUAUGAAUUCAAUUUUAUUAUUGCAAGAAACAUUGGAUAAAUUUUCAUGUGCUUCUGGACUAAAGGCUAAUUUUGAGAAGAGCUCUAUUUACAUACCAGGUACUAACCAAAGCAUCAGCUUAGACAUAAUACAAAAGCUAGGGUAUUUGGAGGGAAGGCUCCCUUUCAAGUAUCUUGGGGUCCCUUUGUCCACAAAAAAGUUGUCUGUAUCACAAUGCUUACCUUUAGUAGAGAAGUUACUGCUAAACUUCAUUGCUGGUCUGCUAAACUGUUAUCAUAUGCUGGAAGGUUACAACUUAUAAAAUCAAUCCUUUUUGGAAUGCAAAGCUAUUGGGCACAAGUCUUUGUUUUUCCAAAAAAAGUGGUUAAAAUGUUAGAAUCAGUGUGUAGAACAUAUCUCUGGACAGGCCAAGGUACAAUUUCAAAGAAGUAACUAGUAGCUUGGGACAUAAUUUGUCAACCAGGUUCUGCUGGAGGCUUAAAUAUUAUUGAUUUAAAACUAUGGAACAAAGCUGCUAUUCUGAAACAUCUAUGGGCAUUAUCUAUGAAGAAAGACAUUAUGUGGAUCAGAUGGGUGUAUUAUUAUUAUAUCAAGCAGAAUAAUUUAGAGCUGAUGAUCAGUCCUAGUAAUGCAGCCUGGGUUGUCAAGAAGAUUAUUGACAGUCGGCAAAGUCUUAUGACACAACAUUUCUUCCAAGGUUCUAUUCACCAGACUUUGGCAAGAAUGGUGUAGGGUGACAAGUUCAAAAUACAGAAAGCUUACGUAGCUAUGCAGCCCCAGUUGCCUAAAGCUUCAUGGAAGAGCAUCACUCUCCAUAAAGCCAUACAUCCAAGAUUCAAAUUCAUCAUAUGGCUUGCAGUACAACAGAGAUUGGCAACAGUGGAUAGACUCCAAAAGAUUGGAAUUCAAGUUCCAAUGUUAUGCAUUUUUUGUGAUUAAGAGGUGGAAUCUUUUGAACAUUUGUUUUCCAGGUGUGUCUAUAGUAAUCAAAUCUGGACAAGAAUGCUUAAAUGGAUGGGAAAUUACAGAAGUAUUGGUCCAUGGCAACAUGAAAUAGAAUGGGUGAGUCGAAUAGCAAAGAAGAAAACUGCUCAAGCUGAAGCUAUAUGUUGUACCUUUGCUAUGGUUAUUUACAACAUCUGGAAAGACAGAAACACUCUGAGGUUCAAGAGGGGACAAGUAGAAGUUUCGCAUACAUGUAAAGACAUUGAUAUGCACCUGCACAUUCAAGGAAGAAACAAGGCAUCCUAGCAGACUAUGUUGAGCUCUUUGAAUCACUUCCCUUAGGAAUAGCCUUCUGAUUGUUUAUUUUCUUUGUUUGUAAGAAGUUAACUAGUUAGAUUAGUUUACUGAUAGCUAAGAGGUGGUAGAUGGUCAACUUCUAUCCGGCAUUGUAAUUUGACACUUUUUGAUUAAUAAAGUAAUCUGUUAAUAAAAAAAAAAUACUUUGCAAAACAAUAUCAAAAUGUCUGAAACAAAGGGAAAUACUGAGAGACUGAUCAACAAUAACUAUUUAUGAAGCCUCUAAUACUAGGAUAGAAGUUGGGACAAAACCACGACAACUCAACAAUAACAUGAAAGUAAAUUGUGAAAUCUUCCGGAAAGAAAAGAGGCUCACCAAAGUUGACUAAAGCGCAAUGUGAUCUCAAAGAAACGCGUGUUGAUGAUCCUGAACACAAGUAUCUG
RNAcentral lists this long non-coding RNA (8625 nucleotides) under Solanum tuberosum (potato). Its description in RNAcentral is "long non-coding RNA (STUB_LNC005726)". Lineage: Eukaryota; Viridiplantae; Streptophyta; Magnoliopsida; Solanales; Solanaceae. The record is from RNAcentral.